UCAUCCUCUUGAAUAUCUACAAUGUUUUUAACUUUUUGUUUAAACUUAUCACGUUUAGCUCUGAUUUUAUCUAAAUCGACACUUCUUCUUGUCUUACGAGCAUAUUCUGUUGUCUUAUCUUGGAGUUG
This 128-nucleotide small RNA is filed under the name Staphylococcus simiae CCM 7213 = CCUG 51256. Its description in RNAcentral is "Staphylococcus simiae CCM 7213 Staphylococcus sRNA sau-59". It matches the Rfam family "Staphylococcus sRNA sau-59". The record is from Rfam by way of RNAcentral. Lineage: Bacteria; Bacillati; Bacillota; Bacilli; Caryophanales; Staphylococcaceae.